This 441-nucleotide ribosomal RNA is filed under the name uncultured bacterium. RNAcentral describes it as "partial 16S ribosomal RNA". It matches the Rfam family "Bacterial small subunit ribosomal RNA", at positions 338 to 795 of the family's 1533-position model. The record is from RNAcentral.
CCUACGGGAGGCUGCAGUAGGGAAUAUUGCUCAAUGGGGGAAACCCUGAAGCAGCAACGCCGCGUGGAUGAUGAAGGUUUUCGGAUUGUAAACUCCUUUUGUUAGAGAAGAUAAUGACGGUAUCUAACGAAUAAGCACCGGCUAACUCCGUGCCAGCAGCCGCGGUAAUACGGAGGGUGCAAGCGUUACUCGGAAUCACUGGGCGUAAAGAGCGCGUAGGCGGGAUAGCAAGUCAGAUGUGAAAUCCUAUGGGUUAACCAUAGAACUGCAUUUGAAACUGUUAUUCUAGAGUAUGGGAGAGGUAGGUGGAAUUCUUGGUGUAGGGGUAAAAUCCGUAGAGAUCAAGAGGAAUACUCAUUGCGAAGGCGACCUGCUAGAACAUAACUGACGCUGAUGCGCGAAAGCGUGGGGAGCAAACAGGAUUAGAUACCCCUAGUAGUC